RNAcentral lists this transfer RNA (75 nucleotides) under Cordylochernes scorpioides. Its description in RNAcentral is "tRNA-Gly". The stretch from base 11 to 69 matches the Rfam family "tRNA", at positions 6 to 65 of the family's 71-position model. Rfam says of the family: Transfer RNA (tRNA) molecules are approximately 80 nucleotides in length. Lineage: Eukaryota; Metazoa; Arthropoda; Arachnida; Pseudoscorpiones; Chernetidae. The record is from RNAcentral.
GGAUUUUUCAGGUGGUUCAGUGGUAGAAUGCUCGCCUGCCAUGCGGGCGGCCGGGUUCGAUUCCCGGCCGAUGCA